This 2026-nucleotide long non-coding RNA is filed under the name Homo sapiens (human). RNAcentral describes it as "HSALNT0370626". The record is from RNAcentral. Lineage: Eukaryota; Metazoa; Chordata; Mammalia; Primates; Hominidae.
CCUCCUGGGCCGCGCCGAUAGCUUAUCGGGUCCACUCUGGGGGCGCCCAGUGCUACAACCGGAAACGCGGCUGGAGGCCAGUGGAUGCUUGAUGGAGCAGUUCGCGCCGUGGUGCGCGCGCGCCAGGGCUUAGGCUCCAAGUAAAGGCCUUCUUCAUCCAUCCACCCACAACCAGCUCGACCUGGGACUCCUGGCUCAGGCUUGGCGUGGGCUCCAUCCCACCGCGAUGCUAGCAUGCGUAUUGGGGUGCCUUGUCUUGGGGUGGGAGAACCUGUUGUAAGAAAUUGUUUGUGGUAUAGUCGAAAAUGACAGAAAUUUAGUCUGAAGUCUUGAGUUUAGGUCCAGGCUUUCCACUACUGUGCAUUCCUGGGCCGCUUGCUUAACCUCUCUGGACCCAGCCUCCUCAUCUUGCAGAGAGAAGUUCUAUUAUGAACUAAGUGGGUUGUUGGCGUUUGGUAAGAUGUAGAGUUGGAAGAUCUUUAUAAAGUAGAAGAAGCCUUAUUUUUGGUUGUCUAUUGUUAUUAGAACAUUUUGGCACUGUCUGGGGAAAGUCAGCCGGCACCUCAGCUGACUGGGGCGUAUGUUCCCGCAGAAGGAGACCCGGGCGGGGUCAAACAGGUUGAACCAUUGCCCUCUUCUGCUCAGAACAGGUGUCCCCAGCCUCGGGGAAAGACAUUUGGAAGGAAAAGCAGGGGGCGUCAGUGACCCUCCGAGGGCUGCAGAGGCUAGCCAUGUGCUCCUCUGAGGCCUUAAUCCCAGUAUCCCAAACAAGCCGCUCAGGACUGGGUCCCCGGCAGAUCGCCGCCCGAACUCGGCCCCCAGUUCGUUUCUUCCAGCGCUUGGCCUGGGCUCACCGCGCGCCCUCACCCCGGUCCAGCUGCGCCUAGAGUUCACUCGGGGCAGCAGAGGACCCGCGAGUAGGCGCUCAGACAGACAGACGCCGCGGUGCCGGGCGGUCUCCGGCUGCGCCCGGGUCUGCGAAUCAAAGGAGAAGCGUCCUUCUCUCACCCUCUCACCCCGCUCCGCUGGCUAGCCAAGCACGGAACCCGCCAGGCUCUGGCCAACCGGCUCACAUGGCCCGGAGCCCAGAGGCUCGCUGAGGCGGCUUCUCUUUACUUUAAACAGGGGGCCUCAUAAGACCUGUUGAGGGGCCCUGCAACACUGUAUACAGAAUCGCCUAUUUAAAAAAAUACACCCAAAAUACAAUUUUGAGACCAGCAUCCAGGCUCUGAAGACCUGUGACAGCCAUCCAUGGAGUCAUGUUAAGAACCUCCACUCCAACUAACCCAAAGCUCACAGCCCUGGAGGAGAAGAAGCCUGUUUGGGGAAUUCUACCUUGGCUCCAUGUCUCUGAAGAGGCUUGUCCCAGGGAAUAUAAUGGGAUCCUCGCUCACACACAACCCAACAGCCGACCCACAAUGGCACACCUCCCAGUUAUUGCCUUAGUCCGGCAAACCCCUGGCUAAGCAUCCACAGCCGAGCUGAGGGCAGUGAGAAAAGUUCAAGUCGCCAGCUGAAGUGGUCUUUAACACCCCCCCCCCGGCCUUCUCAGCCUCACUGUUUAUCCAUAUGAAGCGCUCUCCUUCCCGGCCCACUUCCACCCCCACCUUUCUGAGAUCGGCUAUAAAAAUAAACUAUUUUUCCUUGUUAAUAAAUCUCCGCCCGGCGCCCUCUUUUAAAGAACUCAAAAAAAAAAAAAAAAAAAAAGAAAGAAAGAAAGAAAAAAAAAAUCACUGCGCCCAGCGCGAGCGAGCAGGGAGAUUAAUCUCGAAGCAGGAUUUAUGUGGCGCGGGGAUCCUCAAACAAUUGGAGUCGUAAAGUGAAAUGAGAUUCGGAGGCGGGUGGGGGAGGGGGAGGGCCUCGGGAACCGCAAACACGUUUGUGUAGCUAAACAAUGUGGAAACUUUUAAAGACCCAUUUCUGCAGACAUCUUGCAGCAACCGCGCUUCUCUGUCAGCCCGCGGGAAAGAGAGAGAGAUAUAUUAACUGAAGACACAAUCUAAAAUUACUUAGGGGUUUUAAACAU